Paramuricea clavata is the source of this 359-nucleotide non-coding RNA. NCBI's taxonomy places the organism in Eukaryota, Metazoa, Cnidaria, Anthozoa, Malacalcyonacea, Plexauridae. The record is from the annotation of a GenBank genome assembly.
CAGCAAAUUAAUAAAUACUACAACUCUAUGAAUUAAGUUCUGGUCAAAAGUAAAAUCCAUUAAUUUUUACUGUCAUGUUUAUUCAAAGCUAAAUCCAAAUUCCUUCACAAGUUAUGCGGACGAGUCAUUGUUUUUCAUUUUUUGGUUGUGGUACACAGUGAAGCCGGAGAUUUAAGUCUCGUCCUGCACGUCUAUCUAUGAUGCUGAAAAUCGAUCUAUGAAGAUGUCUCGUUUAUCCAGCUUGCUGCAAGAACUGUCUAAUCAUUUUCCUUGUGGUCUCUGCUUCUUCUUGGUGCAAAGUUUCCAAAAUGUGAGCAACCUUUUAUCCAAUAUUCCAUAUAUGAGAGGAUUUACAGAAU